CAACUACCCGCACCUAAAGGAGCGGGCUUGUAAAAGCCCUGGUUGACCAGACUCAGUGCAGUUUUAUUGCACUACGUUACGAGAGAAUACAUAGGCACCGUAAGAUGACCUUCGCCAGUCUUACGCUCUGC
RNAcentral lists this small RNA (131 nucleotides) under uncultured Oceanisphaera sp. RNAcentral describes it as "HNH endonuclease-associated RNA and ORF (HEARO) RNA". It matches the Rfam family "HNH endonuclease-associated RNA and ORF (HEARO) RNA", at positions 3 to 128 of the family's 211-position model. The record is from RNAcentral. Lineage: Bacteria; Pseudomonadati; Pseudomonadota; Gammaproteobacteria; Aeromonadales; Aeromonadaceae.